This 521-nucleotide ribosomal RNA is filed under the name uncultured bacterium. RNAcentral describes it as "partial 16S ribosomal RNA". It matches the Rfam family "Bacterial small subunit ribosomal RNA", at positions 28 to 523 of the family's 1533-position model. The record is from RNAcentral.
GACGAACGCUGGCGGCGUGCCUAAUACAUGCAAGUUGAACGCUUCUUUCUUAUCGAACUUCGGUUCACCAAGAAAGAAGAGUAGCGAACGGGUGAGUAACACGUGGGUAACCUGCCCAUCAGCGGGGGAUAACACUUGGAAACAGGUGCUAAUAUCGCAUAAUACUUUUUCUCUCAUGUGUGAAAGUUGAAAGGCGCUUUGGCGUCACUGAUGGAUGGACCCGCGGUGCAUUAGCUAGUUGGUAGGGUAACGGCCUACCAAGGCAACGAUGCAUAGCCGAACGGAGAGGGUGAGCGGCCACACUGGGACUGAGACACGGCCCAGACUCCUACGGGAGGCAGCAGUAGGGAAUCUUCGGCAAUGGACGAAAGUCUGACCGAGCAACGCCGCGUGAGUGAAGAAGGUUUUCGGAUCGUAAAACUCUGUUGUUAGAGAAGAACAAGGUUGAGAAGAGAAUGUUCAUCCCUUGACGGUAUCUAACCAGAAAGCCACGGCUAACUACGUGCCAGCCGCCGCAGUAA